GCAUCGGUGGUGCAACGGUUAGCAUGGUUGCUUUCCAAGCAAUCGAUCCGGUUUCGAAUCCCGGCCGACACA
Molecule: non-coding RNA, 72 nt
Organism: Octopus bimaculoides (California two-spot octopus)
Lineage: Eukaryota; Metazoa; Mollusca; Cephalopoda; Octopoda; Octopodidae
Source: Rfam